RNAcentral lists this ribosomal RNA (122 nucleotides) under Sorex araneus (European shrew). The record is from RNAcentral. Lineage: Eukaryota; Metazoa; Chordata; Mammalia; Eulipotyphla; Soricidae.
GGCUACGGCCUGACCACCCUGAACGUGCCUGAUGUAGUCUGAUCUCGGAAGCUAAGCAGGGUCAGGCCUGGUGGGCUUCUUGGAUGGGAGAGCCCUCUUUUUGGUCCCAGGGGUCACACCUC